This 332-nucleotide long non-coding RNA is filed under the name Salvia miltiorrhiza (redroot sage). Its description in RNAcentral is "long non-coding RNA (SMIL_LNC012738)". The record is from RNAcentral. Lineage: Eukaryota; Viridiplantae; Streptophyta; Magnoliopsida; Lamiales; Lamiaceae.
AUCGUCGGAACGAAUGUCGUGCCCCGAGUACUUAGAUGAGAGUUCAUUGUGUGAUCUCUUUUCUUGGGGAUGUUUUAUGACCAUUAAGCCUUACUCUUGUGCUACCGGUCUUAUAACAUCAAAGGAUCUUUGAGAAAUCAACAUCUGCUUAUAGGAUAAUCUCACAUCAAGUCAGUUGAAAAAUCAAAGUAUCCAACUUUGUUCUGCAAUAUAAGUAACAUUAUUAUCCACAUGCAUAUAUGCCUAAAAAAAUUGAAAAAAAAAAGAACACAAGAUCCAACAAACAUCCUAAGUCCCAACGUCCAUGACAUGCAAACACCCUACAUGCAACA